GACGAACGCUGGCGGCGUGCUUAACACAUGCAAGUCGAACGGAAAGGCCCUGCUUUUGUGGGGUGCUCGAGUGGCGAACGGGUGAGUAACACGUGAGUAACCUGCCCUUGACUUUGGGAUAACUUCAGGAAACUGGGGCUAAUACCGGAUAGGAGCUCCUGCUGCAUGGUGGGGGUUGGAAAGUUUCGGCGGUUGGGGCUGGACUCGCGGCUUAUCAGCUUGUUGGUGGGGUAGUGGCUUACCAAGGCUUUGACGGGUAGCCGGCCUGGGAGGGUGACCGGCCACAUUGGGACUGCGAGACGGCCCAGAAGCCUACGGGAGGCAGCAGUGGGGAAUAUUGCACAAUGGGCGGAAGCCUGAUGCAGCAACGCCGCGUGCGGGAUGACGGCCUUCGAGGUGUAAACCGCUGUCGCCGGUGACGAAGCGUGAGUGACGGUAAUGGGUAAAGAAGCACCGGCUAACUACGUG
RNAcentral lists this ribosomal RNA (468 nucleotides) under uncultured bacterium. RNAcentral's name for it is "partial 16S ribosomal RNA". It matches the Rfam family "Bacterial small subunit ribosomal RNA", at positions 28 to 507 of the family's 1533-position model. The record is from RNAcentral.